RNAcentral lists this ribosomal RNA (467 nucleotides) under Xenorhabdus bovienii. RNAcentral describes it as "bacterial SSU rRNA". It matches the Rfam family "Bacterial small subunit ribosomal RNA", at positions 45 to 501 of the family's 1533-position model. Lineage: Bacteria; Pseudomonadati; Pseudomonadota; Gammaproteobacteria; Enterobacterales; Morganellaceae. The record is from RNAcentral.
GGCCUAACACAUGCAAGUCGAGCGGCAGCGGGGGGAAGCUUGCUUCCCCGCCCGCGAGCGGCGGACGGGUGAGUAAUGUCUGGGGAUCUGCCCGAUGGAGGGGGAUAACCACUGGAAACGGUGGCUAAUACCGCAUAACCUCUGUGGAGUAAAGUGGGGGACCUUCGGGCCUCACGCCAUCGGAUGAACCCAGAUGGGAUUAGCUAGUAGGUGGGGUAAUGGCUCACCUAGGCGAGCAUCCCUAGCUGGUCUGAGAGGAUGACCAGCCACACUGGGACUGAGACACGGCCCAGACUCCUACGGGAGGCAGCAGUGGGGAAUAUUGCACAAUGGGCGCAAGCCUGAUGCAGCCAUGCCGCGUGUAUGAAGAAGGCCUUCGGGUUGUAAAGUACUUUCAGCGGGGAGGAAGGCAACAGCGUAAAUAGCGCUGUUGAUUGACGUUACCCGCAGAAGAAGCACCGGCUAAG